This 423-nucleotide ribosomal RNA is filed under the name uncultured bacterium. RNAcentral's name for it is "bacterial SSU rRNA". It matches the Rfam family "Bacterial small subunit ribosomal RNA", at positions 207 to 622 of the family's 1533-position model. The record is from RNAcentral.
AAGACCUUGCGCUUUUGGAGCGGCCGAUGUCUGAUUAGCUUGUUGGUAAGGUAAAAGCUUACCAAGGCUUCGAUCAGUAGCUGGUCUGAGAGGACGGCCAGCCACACUGGGACUGAGACACGGCCCAGACUCCUACGGGAGGCAGCAGUGGGGAAUUUUGGACAAUGGGGGCAACCCUGAUCCAGCCAUGCCGCGUGAGUGAAGAAGGCCUUCGGGUUGUAAAGCUCUUUCAGCCGGAACGAAACGGUUACGGUUAAUACCCGUGAUUACUGACGGUACCGGAAGAAGAAGCACCGGCUAACUACGUGCCAGCAGCCGCGGUAAUACGUAGGGUGCGAGCGUUAAUCGGAAUUACUGGGCGUAAAGCGUGCGCAGGUGGUUUUGUAAGUCAGAUGUGAAAUCCCCGGGCUUAACCUGGGAACU